This 165-nucleotide unclassified non-coding RNA is filed under the name Streptococcus equi subsp. zooepidemicus. Lineage: Bacteria; Bacillati; Bacillota; Bacilli; Lactobacillales; Streptococcaceae. The record is from RNAcentral.
UAUAAUAGGUCUAGCGGAUAAGUAGUCUGGCUCUGUCUUUCAGAGAGUCUGUGGUUGCUGAAAACAGAUAGAGGAGUCAUACGAAAUUCUACCGUCUACCAAUUGAAUAUGAAUUAAGUGCACAGAUUGUGAAGCUGGAUGGAACCGCGCUCAGGCGCUCCAGUG